UACGGAGGGUGCAAGCGUUGUCCGGAUUCACUGGGUUUAAAGGGUGCGUAGGUGGGCUGGUAAGUCAGUGGUGAAAUCUCCAGGCUUAACUUGGAAACUGCCAUUGAUACUAUCAGUCUUGAAUACCGUGGAGGUCAGCGGAAUAUGUCAUGUAGCGGUGAAAUGCUUAGAUAUGACAUAGAACACCAAUUGCGAAGGCAGCUGGCUACACGAAUAUUGACACUGAUGCACGAAAGCGUGGGGAUCAAACAGG
Molecule: ribosomal RNA, 253 nt
Filed under: uncultured bacterium
Lineage: Bacteria
Description: partial 16S ribosomal RNA
Rfam family: Bacterial small subunit ribosomal RNA
Source: RNAcentral